This 427-nucleotide ribosomal RNA is filed under the name uncultured bacterium. Its description in RNAcentral is "bacterial SSU rRNA". It matches the Rfam family "Bacterial small subunit ribosomal RNA", at positions 355 to 773 of the family's 1533-position model. The record is from RNAcentral.
UGGGGAAUCUUGCGCAAUGGGCGAAAGCCUGACGCAGCAACGCCGCGUGGAGGAUGGAGGCCCUUGGGUUGUAAACUCCUGUCGGCUGGGAAGAACUCGUACGAUGCUCAUACCAUCGUGCGUUGACUGUCCCGCACGAAUAAGCCCCGGCUAACUUCGUGCCAGCAGCCGCGGUAAUACGAAGGGGGCUAGCGUUGCUCGGAAUCACUGGGCGUAAAGCGCACGUAGGCGGACUCUUAAGUCGGUGGUGAAAUCCUGGAGCUCAACUCCAGAACUGCCUUCGAUACUGGGAGUCUCGAGUUCGGGAGAGGUGAGUGGAACUGCGAGUGUAGAGGUGAAAUUCGUAGAUAUUCGCAAGAACACCAGUGGCGAAGGCGGCUCACUGGCCCGAUACUGACGCUGAGGUGCGAAAGCGUGGGGAGCAAAC